RNAcentral lists this ribosomal RNA (481 nucleotides) under uncultured bacterium. RNAcentral's name for it is "partial 16S ribosomal RNA". It matches the Rfam family "Bacterial small subunit ribosomal RNA", at positions 28 to 507 of the family's 1533-position model. The record is from RNAcentral.
GAUGAACGCUGGCGGCGUGCUUAACACAUGCAAGUCGAACGAAGCACUUUAUUUGAUUUCCUUCGGGACUGAUUAUUUUGUGACUGAGUGGCGGACGGGUGAGUAACGCGUGGGUAACCUGCCUUGUACAGGGGGAUAACAGUUGGAAACGGCUGCUAAUACCGCAUAAGCGCACAGCAUCGCAUGAUGCAGUGUGAAAAACUCCGGUGGUAUAAGAUGGACCCGCGUUGGAUUAGCUAGUUGGUGAGGUAACGGCCCACCAAGGCGACGAUCCAUAGCCGACCUGAGAGGGUGACCGGCCACAUUGGGACUGAGACACGGCCCAAACUCCUACGGGAGGCAGCAGUGGGGAAUAUUGCACAAUGGGCGAAAGCCUGAUGCAGCGACGCCGCGUGAGCGAAGAAGUAUUUCGGUAUAUAAAGCUCUAUCAGCAGGGAAGAUAAUGACGGUACCUGACGAAGAAGCACCGGCUAAAUACGUG